CGGAAUGCCCCUGCGCGGCAGGAAGUGGUUGUGUAGACGGAGAGACGCCCUCGCAGGUUUUCGAAACGGCGACGGUUUGCGUUGUUUACGGUUGUUCGAAUCCAUAAACCUGAGUAAACACGUUAAACUUUUAUCGAGUACCACAGGUUGGUUUUCACAGCGAAGAAAAUGAAAGAAGCUGACCAAAAACGCCACUUGGUGUCGGAUAAGCCUCGUGAGUGACCACCUCGUUAAAGCUGUGGAUGCAGACAGAGGAUGAGAAGCUGAUGGGUCUGCAGCACGAGGACUCCUUCUGAUUGGAAGGCUUUCUCUGACUGAAUCCCAGCUGACCACACAGCCUCACCUGAUAGGACCUCACCUGAUGGGACUGUCAGCUGUGACCAGUUUGUAAGAUAAAGUUCCCACGCUGCAGAGACAGAUGAGUUAAUCUGAGCCUGUGAGCUGGAGACGAUGGAUUCUGCCUCAUCAACCAGGGAGAUGAUGUUACACCAAACAGGAGCCAUGUUUACUUCCUCUCCUCCAGGACUCAGACUUCAGCUCAUAAAGAACAGCAUGAAGAUAUCUGCAGAAGAUGAGUGUCUUCAGCUGCUGUCGUCUUCUCCUCCCGCAGAGACAAGAACACGUGUGAAUCACAGAGACUGAUCAAUAAAUCUAUUUUUCCUUUCCUAAGCUAUCUGCAUUCAUUUUUGAUAUCUAUACUAUAUUUUUUGAUCAAUUUUGGUGCCUUACUAUACUACGACUUUUUUUGAUGCUUUUUAAUGCCUUACUAUACUAUGGCAUUUUUUUGAUGCCUAUACUAUGACUUUUUUCGAUGGUUUUUGACGCUUUUAAAAUUUUUUGAUGUUUUUUCAUGCCUUACUGUACCAUGACAUUUUUUGAAGGUUUUUUAAGCCUUUCCGUACUAUAACAUUUUUUGAUGUUUUUUCUUUGAAGGUUUUUUUAAGCCUUUCUGUACCAUGACAUUUUUUGAUUAACACUACUACUACACACACCUUACUAUACUGUGAUGCCAUCUUACCUUUGUUGUCCAGAGACACACACUCACACUUCCACGCAGUGUUUGUGAGUUUAGUUAGAUUUUGUGUUUCAUUUUAGUAUUUUCCUUUCAAACAGAGCAAUAUUAGUACUCAAAUCCCAUCUAUUACUGCAUACACAGUCCUGUUUAUAUUGUUCAUAUUGUUUAUAAUUUUUACAUUGUUAAAUAUUAUCUUAUUUCAUAUUUUCUUAAUAUUAUACCUUUUUUUUUUGCUGCUGCAACACUGAAUUUUCAGAGGAUUAUCUUACUCAA
Lates calcarifer (barramundi perch) is the source of this 1288-nucleotide long non-coding RNA. RefSeq lists it as uncharacterized. Lineage: Eukaryota; Metazoa; Chordata; Actinopteri; Centropomidae. The record is from RefSeq and is a predicted model, not a curated record. The transcript is spliced from 5 exons.